UACGAAGGGGGCUAGCGUUGCUCGGAAUGACUGGGCGUAAAGGGCGCGUAGGCGGAUGGCACAGUCAGAUGUGAAAUUCCCGGGCUUAACCUGGGGGCUGCAUUUGAUACGUGUGAUCUAGAGUGAGGAAGAGGGUCGUGGAAUUCCCAGUGUAGAGGUGAAAUUCGUAGAUAUUGGGAAGAACACCGGUGGCGAGGGCGGCGACCUGGUCCUUUUACUGACGCUGAGGCGCGAAAGCGUGGGGAGCAAACAGG
RNAcentral lists this ribosomal RNA (254 nucleotides) under uncultured bacterium. RNAcentral describes it as "partial 16S ribosomal RNA". It matches the Rfam family "Bacterial small subunit ribosomal RNA", at positions 524 to 776 of the family's 1533-position model. The record is from RNAcentral.